UACGUAGGGGGCAAGCGUUGUCCGGAAUUAUUGGGCGUAAAGAGCGUGUAGGCGGCCAGGUAGGUCUGCUGUGAAAACUCGAGGCUCAACCUCGAGAUGUCGGCGGAAACCAUCUGGCUAGAGUCCGGAAGAGGAAAGUGGAAUUCCUGGUGUAGCGGUGAAAUGCGCAGAUAUCAGGAAGAACACCCGUGGCGAAAGCGGCUCUCUGGAACGGUACUGACGCUGAGACGCGAAAGCGUGGGGAGCGAACAGG
This 253-nucleotide ribosomal RNA is filed under the name uncultured bacterium. RNAcentral's name for it is "partial 16S ribosomal RNA". It matches the Rfam family "Bacterial small subunit ribosomal RNA", at positions 524 to 776 of the family's 1533-position model. The record is from RNAcentral.